AACUGAAGAGUUUGAUCAUGGCUCAGAUUGAACGCUGGCGGCAGGCUUAACACAUGCAAGUCGAGCGGGGGAAGGUAGCUUGCUACUGGACCUAGCGGCGGACGGGUGAGUAAUGCUUAGGAAUCUGCCUAUUAGUGGGGGACAACAUCUCGAAAGGGAUGCUAAUACCGCAUACGUCCUACGGGAGAAAGCAGGGGAUCUUCGGACCUUGCGCUAAUAGAUGAGCCUAAGUCGGAUUAGCUAGUUGGUGGGGUAAAGGCCUACCAAGGCGACGAUCUGUAGCGGGUCUGAGAGGA
Molecule: ribosomal RNA, 296 nt
Filed under: Acinetobacter baumannii
Lineage: Bacteria; Pseudomonadati; Pseudomonadota; Gammaproteobacteria; Moraxellales; Moraxellaceae
Description: partial 16S ribosomal RNA
Rfam family: Bacterial small subunit ribosomal RNA
Source: RNAcentral